CAGAGCUGGAUGCAGAGCCAGGCACAGAGCCAAGGCGCGUCUGACCCCAGUCCAGCGGGAUCUCCUGCAAGCCGCAGUGUUUCCAGAGGCGCACUUCAGUGUGUGGAGUGAAGGGAGAGUCUCCGGACAUGAGAAGAGCUGCUCUGAGCAGUGUGGCGGCCGUUUUUGUUUCCUUUCUCUUUCUCCUCCUGGGGCUAGGCAGACACCGGGCACAAAGAAGGAAACAGGCCUUCUGUGAGUGCAGCAGCAAUCAAUAAAGAAGCAGCCCAGAGCGGCCAUCCCUCUUCUGUCUGCUGUGACGCUCCGGCCCAGGAGCACCAGAGGAGGGGGACUUCAUCUGACUUGUUCAGCACUGUCUCCCAGGCCCUGGCACAGAGGGAGCACUCGAUACACACCGAUGGGCUGAAGACCCUGAGCCGUUGUCAAAACACAGCUUAAUCCCCAUUCCCUGGGCCCGAGACCCUGCAGCCCCCACGCUGCCCGGCUUCCGGUCUUACCUGGGGCAACCUGACCAACAAGAACGCGGAAGGCCAGGAGCCAAAAACAGAGACUCCUGAUGGGUAACAGAAGGAAAAGAUGAAGGAACAAGGUCCAGUGAUGUCCCCAGAGCAUGUAGCUGGUCAAAGACCAACCCCGGACCAGAAUGGAUGCCUCCUGAUCUCACUUCAGUUCUCAUUCCACUUCACCACACUGCUGGUUGACUGUGGUGUCACGGUGCAUAACCAGAACUAAUUUCUGGCAUUACCUUCCAGGAUCUAGUACAUUAUGGGACACAAAAGGAAUU
Molecule: long non-coding RNA, 784 nt
Filed under: Homo sapiens (human)
Lineage: Eukaryota; Metazoa; Chordata; Mammalia; Primates; Hominidae
Description: HSALNT0132459
Source: RNAcentral